UCAGUCGGAAUUGCACGCGAUGUAAAAAAUACAUGCUAACAUCGGUUUAUGAAAUAUCGAUUUUUAUUGUGAUUAUAAACAUCGGUCAUUAAAUUAACCGAUGUGUAAAGUCUCGUUCAAAAAUUUUGAAAAAUUUGCGGAGGGACUAAGUUAAAAAUUUUAGAAACGCGGGGGGACUAAAUUUUCAUUCCCUCCAUUCCUCCAACACUAUUUUUUUUCACUCUGAAACUUUCGAACCGUAAUGACUAACUCUCACUCCUUCCAAACCCUACUCGGGUGGUACCCCCCCCUCCCCGGACUCUCACUCUCUCUCUAUGAUGAACAAGCUCCGGAAUUUGGUCUUUUCCCUUAAACUCUGUUCGAUCUCCACCGCAAUCCUUUUUCUCUUUCUCUCCGUUCUCGAUCUAACUCAACAAAUUGAGCACUUGGUGGCCACUGUGUUGAUCUAGAUCCAGGGCUUAUGGGCUUAUUCUUUUUGGGUAUUUCAAUUUGGCUCUUUCCAGUCGUUCCUCUUCCUCUCUCGUGCGAGGUCAUUCAACUCAGAUGCUUUCAAUUCAAUGGCGAGGUCAUUCGUGCGAGUUUCGUUCUGUCCGAGCGCAAUUUCGAUUCAACUCGGAUGCUUUCUCUUCUCUGCUGACGGAGAGUUCGCGUCUUGGGUCAGUUCUCAACCUCUUUUUGCUUGGUUUCUGUGUAGAUUGGAGCAGGCCUCUGGCCUCGCAGGUGUGCGUCUAGUGUGACCGGACAGGUUGCUGUCGGAGGUGAUUGGGAUGGAGAUCGGAGACUGGGGCGUUGGGAUUUCGAUCUGUUUGGUUUUUAUUUGAUGACGGUGGCUGCACGGAGACUGGGUGAGCGGAAGAUGGUGGUGACUGGGUGUGUGGCGACGGUCGGGGAUUCGGAUCCGGCAGUAGGGUUGUUGACCCUCUGGGUUUGGGGAUGGAGACGGUGGGAAUAUAGGCUCGGGUGUUGAUCUUCUUCAUGGAAUUGGGCAUGCGAGCUUUGUGUUUGUGGUGGUGGGUGAUGUGUGGUCAACGACGAUUGGGGUUCGGUAUCGGCGCCAAACAGAUUAUGGAGGAGCCUACAAUCCUGCAGCAGUGUCCAAACACGGUGUACUACAUAUUAUCACAUUAUAUUGGUUUAUUUCUUAUUUUCUUUCCAUUCUACUAGUCGGUCACAGUGUAUUAUUAACAUUCGAGGUGUUGCCGACAAGUUUGAUGGAGAGGAUAACAAUAAAGCAAAUGAAGUCGUCCUGAGUAUUGUUGACCUUACUGGUUCUAUAUUACUUAUAUGUAGUCUUCAUUGGCUCUAACUUUUCUUCUCUUUCAUCCUUGGUGACACCACACACACAUUCAGAUUAGAUAUGGAUGACAUGUGUACCUAACUCAUUGUGUGCUUUUAGUUGUAGCCAUAUAUGCUUAAAUGAUUAAUAUACCAAUUGAUACUGAAAAUCUGAAAUAGGGCUAGACAUGGUCUUUCGAGUCCCUAUAAUAUCUGUUACAAUUGCUUAGGACUAUUGUUACUGAUGCAAUGAUCUUUGGACAGUUGACCAAGUACUUGAGAGACUAUUUGGAAGGCAAGAAGGAGAUGUCACUGAUUUUAACAGUAAAAUCAGGAGAAGAAGAUUAUCGUGAUACAUCGCACCUGCUAAGACAGGCCUCACCUUAUAUGGAAAUCAAGUUUAAUAAUGCUGAAGACCCUUCAAAUAUUCCGAACAAAAGGCAAAUCCAGUCUUUGUCUAGAACUGAGCAGCGCAAAAGAAUGAAAUUAACCGGUUCUGAGUCUUGCGUGCGGCACAAAGAAUCUACAAGGUGGAAUUAAGUAGUGGUUCAAAACCGUGUAAUGUUGACACUGCAGAUGGAGAGAGAAACCAUCAGAUUAUGCAGAGUUUUGCUAAAGCUAUAUGGAAUGUUUUGAAGGAUUACAACAAAAAACUAUAGGUAAUCAAGAGUCUCAUACAUUCAAUUCAUGUAGUUAGUUAGGUAAACUGAUUCCUAUCAUCCAGUUCCUAAUUUUGAUGCCCAUUUGUUGAUCAAGCUGAGGCAGUAUUCAUUCUUUACUUUGGUUCCUUUCCUAACUAGCUCAACUUCCAUCAAUUAUAUGUUCAAAAGAAAACCUACUCAUCUAUCUGGUCAUAAGUAGGUGGCGGAUGAUGAAAUCAAUGUAGUCGGAAUCACAUUAAUGUAAAGCAUCCAUUUUCUUGAAUCAAUGUAGGUCCUGUCAUGGAGGAUUUGAAAUGCGUUGCUGUACUACCAUUGUACCAUAUAUAUGUUAAUGUUAUUCAUUUUGAACCUCCCUACCUUGGAUUUGCUUUAUUCUGAAUCUUUCAACCUGCUUCACUUCUCCAAUUGUUUCUCUAGCUUGUCUUGAACAAAUCUCAAAAACCUUUGUUCUUAUCUUUUUAAGAGAAAAUUUGCAUUGCUUCUGUGUUAUCAUGUAAAGUUGGAAUAGAUAUCUAGAAGGGAAAUUUGUAAUGUUUUUGUCUGUUUCUCCUUUGGUUAUUGUCACAGUGGUCCAGGCAGAGCUGGUAUAUGCACCACACCAUUGCAUUCCCACUUGGUUAAUGAGGGUUUUGCUAAACUGUAGCAUCUUCCAUAUAACAGGAAAGUGACUAAACUGUAUUCCAGGUUGCAGAUGAACUUGUAGCAGAGUUUUCUGACCCUAUCAAUGGUGUCACAUCCCCUGAUCAAAUUGACGAGGUGCGCAUUGAAGUGGCUGAUUAUAUACAGAGUUUGAUGUAGAAAUGUGACUGCCAAGAUGUUUUUUGAGUAAGGCUAGCUAGUUUUGGCUUUGAAGCAAAGCUUGGUGUGGAGCUUUUGUACAUUGUUGCUCAUAUGUUUCCAAGCUAGCUUUUGUAAGUUUAGGGGUUUAUUUUGUGAAUUAUGUUGAAUCAUGAAAUUUGGAAAGAAAAUUAAUGGGAAAGCCCCUUAUUUUGGAUGAUGAGAAAUGCAAUUUUUUUCCCAGCAAUAGCUAAAUGCAAACUUUUCACAUCAUGCUUGUCAAAAUAAAGUGAAGUAUAUUAAAGUAUAAUAAAACAGUAAUGCCAAGGAAAACGAAGUCAGUUGAGAGAUUAGAAAUCAAUAUCAAAAAUGAAAUCGAUGUGCUAUGAUUAUCAAUAUAUCGAAUUGUAACUCAAAACCGAUGUAAUCAAAACUACUGCACAUCGAUUUCUAAUCACCAAACCGUAAUCUAUUAUGAACAUACAAAUCACCUACCAUGGAGCAAACUGAUGUGUGGUCAAAAGGUGAACAUCAUUUCUGAAUAAAAAAACGAUGUAGAAUAAAGAUACAGACAUCGUUCCUAAGAAAAUAAUGUGGCAACCUACAUGUAAAAAUGGCCACGAACAAACAAUACUCAUGGGAACUGAUGUCUACAAGUGUACUGGACAUCGCUUCUGGAAUAGAAAUCGAUGCAAAUGUUCACGUAGGUAUUGUUCGACAUAUACUUUAUUAAGCAUAAAAUGUGAAAAUAUGAAGAAUUAGACAUACCUAACAUACAAAAAUAUGAUGAUUAUAACGAUUAUACAUCGAUUUGUUUUUUAGAAUCGAUGUUGGUUGUUGUCUGGGACAUCGGUUGAAAACGCGCUUAUACUGAUGUCUAUACUUUUCUCUACACCCACUAAGACAUCGGUCGAAAAUUAGUUUAACAUCGGUCCAGAACCG
This is a long non-coding RNA of Rosa rugosa (rugosa rose), 3656 nucleotides long. RefSeq lists it as uncharacterized. NCBI's taxonomy places the organism in Eukaryota, Viridiplantae, Streptophyta, Magnoliopsida, Rosales, Rosaceae. The record is from RefSeq and is a predicted model, not a curated record. The transcript has 4 exons.